AUCCCUGGGCCUGGGCCUACCUAGGUGAAGACAGGCAUUUUUGUUUUCCUGCCCGGAUGUUGCAUUUCCCAAGACCACCCUGGCCUGCCAUGCCCUCAUCCUGUGCCUUUAAAAACCCCCGAGACCCUGGCAGGCAGACGCACAAGCAGCUGGACAUUGAGAGGAGCAUAUAGGCAGAGAAUACAGGGGCUGCUGGAUGUCGAAAGGAACGCACCAGCAUAGGAGCACACCGGCAUGCUGGCAGGCCAUUGACCAGCGGAAGAAUGCAGAGUUUGUCGCGGGAGGUCAGAGAAGAGUCAGGCCGCCAUACCUGACUCCAGGAGAAAACCGUCUCCCUUCUGGUUCCCCCGUCUGCCGAGAGCUACUUCCACUCAAUAAAACUUUCCACUCAUUCUUCAAGCCCACGUGUGAUCCAAUUCUUCCCGUACACCAAGGUCUCGCUGUGUUUCCCAGGCUGGGUGCAGUGGCUAUUCAAAGGUACAAUGAUAGCUCACUGCAGCCUGGAACUCCUGGACUCAAGCGAUCCUCCUGCCUCAGCUGCGACUAACAGUGCUGGUAAUGAUGUAUACCUGGCAGCUGACCGUCAAAUCUUAUGAAGGAUUAAAACAUAAAGUUUGCAUUAAAGGUCAAAACAGUCACAAGCCUGCUCAAAUUCGGAAAGAGGGGACGGAAAUGGAACCUCUUCAUGGGAGGAAGAAACAGGGUCUUGCUCUGUUGCCCUGGCUGGAGUGCAAUGGUAUGAUCAUAGCUCACAGUAGCCUUGAACUCCUGGGCCCAAGCCAUCCUCCUACCUCAGCAACCAGAGUAGCUGGGAUUACAGGCGAAUGCCACCACACCUGGAUGGAGUCUCACUGUCACGCAGAUUGGAGUGCAGUGGCACGAUCCUGGCUCACUGCAACCUCUGCCUCUUGGGUUCAAGCAACUCUCCUGCCCCAGCCUCCUCAGUAGCUAGGACUACAGGCCUGUGCCACAAUGCCCAGCUAAUUUCUGUAUUUUUAGUAGACAUGGGGUUUCACCGUAUUGGCCAGGCUGGUCUUGAACUCCUGACUUCAGAAUUGGAAAAAUGAAUGUAAUUUGACAUAUGUCUUGAGUCUGGUUGGCUUCUGAGGAACUUGUGUGCAUCUCAUCAGUAUGCAUCUUAAGAACUGAAAUGACCCUACUUCAGCAUUGUGAGAAGACAUGCAUUCUCUUCGUAUAAAUAAUGUGGAUCUUACAUGUAAAGUAUUAUAAAGAUUAGCUGUUUAACAACUUAAAUAAGCUUGUGAAUAAUAAAUUAAUAACAAUGUUAUGCUAAUACGUAACUAUGAUAUUUGCUGAACAAAAUAAAUUUGCCUACUUUGGAAGCAGAUUGGGUGGUUUAAUAUAUCAGCAAAAGAGUGUUUUUAAAAAAUAUCAAAGUUCUGUUAAUCAAAACGUUUAUUGUAGGACAGUUAGUAAUGUUUUGUUUGCCAACUUAUAUUACAAAGUCUCUGUCUUAAGUGUUUCCUUGCAAAUAAAAUGACAAUACUGCCUUACAUUUUAUUACUUUAGAGUUUGCAAAAUAUCUUCAUUAUAAUAUUUCAUUUAGUAGACAUGCCUAUGGGAACAUUACUUCCAGAAUUAAAAACAUUAUUUUUGUUUUGGUAUAUUUUUAAACUACAAAUGAUAGAAAGGCAAGUAAAUGUAAGUUUUUCUCUAGUUAUUUGUUCAAAUGCUAAUUUAAAACAUUUGUACAUUUCUAAUACAAACAUUCCUUAUUUGAGAAAAAAUGGAUUUCUUAAAAACAAAAUGCAUUUUAAAGCAGAGAGACAGGGCAUUGAGCUGAAAAUGGUGGCUGGAAGUUGGGAUCUGUAAGAGAAGUUGAAUGUGCCCCGAGGCAUAAAGCUGCUAAUUUUGUUUUAUUGGAUUUUACUGUAGCUAUUAAUAUAUUUUGCUGGAGAUUUAUGUGAUCAAUUUAUCUUAUGGCCAGAACUAAUUCCCUUAGUAUAUUUUAUUAGAAUAUGUGACUUUUUCUAAAUUUAGCUUUAUUUUUCAUAUUUUCCAUAAAUGGCAAAGAUUCUAUGUUUCCAGACAUGUUAAGUAUUGCAAGAAUUAUUGGAGCACCUAAAGAUAAAUAAUAUCAAAAUAGUGUCAUUGUUUCCCUUAGUUUCUCCUUCUCCCCCACAAAUAAACCAAGAGGUAUUUAGUUAUACUAUUGCAUGUCUCUAGCUUUAUUGGAUUCUUCCAUGAAAGAAAAAUGGAUUACAUUUUUGGUUGUGUGGCCCUCGUUGCCCUAUUGCACUUUUGAUAAUAUUUGCCUGUGACAAGUAGUUAUUUUUCAUUACCACAUUCAAUCAUGGGUAAUAAAAUAUUUUAAUAAUGGUGAAUGUGAAGUUAAUUAAUAACCCGCAGGUAUGGCAGCUAGACAGGAUUGCUCUCCAUCUCAAACACAAGGAAAACAAUUCCAUCGGUAGUUAUAAAUUUGCAUAUGAAUGUCAAAUAUAUGAGGUUUUGAAUAAAAAUCAUUUCUGAGUAAAA
Molecule: long non-coding RNA, 2496 nt
Filed under: Homo sapiens (human)
Lineage: Eukaryota; Metazoa; Chordata; Mammalia; Primates; Hominidae
Description: AGA divergent transcript, transcript variant 4 (AGA-DT)
Source: RNAcentral